RNAcentral lists this long non-coding RNA (254 nucleotides) under Ananas comosus (pineapple). RNAcentral describes it as "long non-coding RNA (ACOM_LNC039124)". The record is from RNAcentral. Lineage: Eukaryota; Viridiplantae; Streptophyta; Magnoliopsida; Poales; Bromeliaceae.
AGUGGCAUUCGAUAAAGUUAAAGUGAAAUGGCACUAGAGAUAGUGUGAGGUAAAGAACCAAUGUAAUGUAAAGAAUGAUGAAAAUGACAAUGUUUAAAGUUAAGGUAAUGUGGGGAGUAAAGAACGUGAAGUGCUAGAGGUAGCCAAAAGUAAAGAAUGUAAAGAAUAUAAUUGUUAGAGUUAGCAAGAGUAAUGAAUGCUAAAGAACAAUGAUUGCUAGAGUGGCAACAAAAAGUGAUGAAAGAACACUAGAG